RNAcentral lists this transfer RNA (64 nucleotides) under Cavia porcellus (domestic guinea pig). It matches the Rfam family "tRNA". From Rfam's summary of the family: Transfer RNA (tRNA) molecules are approximately 80 nucleotides in length. Their secondary structure includes four short double-helical elements and three loops (D, anti-codon, and T loops). Lineage: Eukaryota; Metazoa; Chordata; Mammalia; Rodentia; Caviidae. The record is from Rfam by way of RNAcentral.
AGGGAUUUAGCUCAGUGGUGAAAGCGCCUGCCUGGCAAGCAUGAGAUCCUGAGUUCAAUCCCUG